Molecule: non-coding RNA, 283 nt
Organism: Otolemur garnettii (small-eared galago)
Lineage: Eukaryota; Metazoa; Chordata; Mammalia; Primates; Galagidae
Source: Rfam
GCCAGCCAUUAGUCCCAACUACUCGGGAGGCUGAGACAGGAGGAUCUCUUGAGUCCAGGGGUUCUAGGCUGUAGUGUGCUAUGCUGAUUGAGUGUCUGCACUAAGUUCGGUAUCAGUAUGUGACCUCCCAGGAGCUGGGGGCCACGAGGUUGCCUAAGGAGGGGUGAAGCAGCCCGGGUUGGAAGCAGAGCAGGUCAAAACUCCCAUGCUGAUCAGUAAAGGGAUCGUACCUGUGAAUAGCCACUGCACUCAGCCUGGGCAACAUAGUGAGACCCCAUCUCUA